CUGCUAGGGCGGGUGGGGGCGGGGCGGCGAGGAGAGGUCAAGGCCCCGACAGGCCGCCUACGGGCUUGUGCUUUUCGAUCCGGCCGACUCGAGGGGCUUGGGAUUCCGGGGAGCUCCGGGGGUCUAGGGGCCCGGAGUCCCAGGAACUCCAGAGUUCUUGGGGGGGGGGGGGCCCGGGGGCCUCGGAAGGUCUCAGGGUCUUGGGGAUCUCAGGGGCCGGGGAACUCCAGGACUCUGGGGUUCUCGAGGGCCCAGGGCGGUCUCAGGGCGGGGUGUUUGCCUCAGGAUCCCGGAGGAUUCGGGGCACCGUGGUCGUGGCCUGCUGGCGUGGGCUCCCCAGGAACCGACGCCCUGGUUUUGCGUUUUCUGCGGCCUACACCGACUCUGGACUUGUGAAUGCAGCGAAAUCUUAAUGAAUGAGUAAUGCGACAGCAGAGUCGUCUGCGGGGUGGGGGCUACCAAUCUCCCCACCCCGGCCCCGGCCCCGCCCCCGCCCCCGGUCUGCGAAGCCAGAUCCAGGUCCCCUGACGGUUGCCUUGCAUGCAUUCCUCUGAAAAAACAGAUAUUUCCAGUCCCAACUUCUCUCUCAAUGCCAGUCUGACAUUAUCAAUCAAUUGUGAAAUGCCCACCUGUGUGAUUUCAGAUGUGUCAAACCGGGCAUUUCUGAAAAUCAAAAAUUCGUCUUCUCCCUGUAAGUAGACCUAUCCUCACGCUGCCAUGCCAGAGGGCAGCCUGCGCCCUGACUCCCCUGAAGACUGCAGAAAAAGGACUUGCUAAGUCCCAAGAACACAGGGCAGAGAAGACAAAGCCUGAUCCAAGGCAGAGGGUUGCAAUUAGCCCCACAAAGUGCAUUAGGAACAUCAAGGGGGGGGCCGGUGGAGACAAGCCCUCUGGCAUCUGACAGAGGAGAAAGUUGAUAAGGGAGGUGCAUCUGGACACUUACUACUGUAACUUCUGCUAACAGUGUGGCGACUCCCUCAGGUAACACAUGUGGUAAGCCUAUGGACUUGUGACCAUGUGCUGAGCACUAUUCGAAGCGCUUAACUACGUAUUAACUCACUUAAUUCCUACAACCCCACAAGGCGGGUGGGUAAACCAAGGCACAGGAAGCUGCUCACUAGCCUGUGGUCAAACAGUUAACGGUGGCAGAGUUGGGUUUGAACCCAGGUGGCCUGGCCCAGCAUUUUUGUUCUUGACCAUUAGCUGUUCUGCUUCUCCGUCACCUUCUCAGAUCCUUUCAACAAGUCCUAUUGUUGUUACAGAAACUUCCUAUGUUCUGAAGUUGAAAAUAAUUUUGAAUCACGAUUCUCUCAGUUAUUAACUAUAAUGCCCUUUUUUGUGUUAUCAGGAGGUUAGAUAAAUAUGCCUCCUAUGUCUCCGUGGCACUUGCACAGAAAGCCUCUGGGAUGAUCAGGACUCUGUGGCCACAGUCACCUGCUGAACUGCUGGACAGCCCCGCAGAACUCUGCUGGUGCCCUUCCUCUCCCUCGGGUGCCCGUGACUUCCCUCAGCCCCUCCCGUCGCCCUCACGCUUACGUGGCUGGAUCCUCCUUGAAAAUCCAAUAUUUAGAACAGUUGAAGCCUAUUUGGUCACGUAGAACAGAAGAGGAACCGUUCUUUGAAAGAAACCCAAAACAGGACUCUUGACAAAGAGCAAAUACAUUAACAUGUGUGUCAGAAAAGAAAUGUGAGGUAAUUUUGUAAAUCUUAUCAGUGAAAAACUGACAGGCCUUUCAUAUUUUUACUGUUCUCUCAUGAAUUUGGAAUCAUAUUUGCCAAAAAAACAAUAAACACUUGCCAUGGUGAAGAGUCCAAGGCCUCAAGUCCCCACCCCAGCUCUGCCCUGUACAAGCUGCAUGUGCUGUGGUGGGUGAGUCAGCUCCACGGAGCCCUGGCCCCUCUUUGCCAAGUGGAGAAAUCAUGUCCACCCCCAAAGGAUUGUUUACGGUGAUUAGUUAAGGUAUGUGCACAAAAGCAUACGGCAUAAAGUAAGAGAUGUUAAUAUGAGGGGUGACUUUAACAUAAUUUUAUAUGAAAACUUUAUUGGGUCAGCACAAGGUAAUGUACUUCAUUGCCAUGAAGUAUAUUAAAUGUUAGAUAUCUUUUUUUUUAAUGUUUAUUUUUUGAGAGAGACAGAGGGUGAGCGAGGGAGGGACAGAGGGAGAGGGAGACACAGAAUCCGAGGCAGGCUCCAGGCUCCAAGCUGUCAGCACAGAGCCCGACACGGGGUUCGAACUCACAAGCUGUGAGAUCAUGACCUGAGCUGAAGUCGGACACUUAACUGACUGAGCCACCUAGGCGUCCCACUUUUUCUUUUUUUAAUGUUUAGUUAUUUUUAGGAGAGAGAGACAGAGACAGAGAGAGAGACAGAGAGAGAGAGGGAGUGGGGGAAGGGCAGAGAGAGAGGGAGAUGCAGAAUCCAAAGAAGGCUCCAGGCUCUGAGCUGUCAGCACAGAACUUGACACAGGGCUUGAACCCAUGUACCGUGAAAUCAUGACCCGAUCCGAAGUCGGACACUUAACUGAUUGAACCAGCCAAGUAUAUUAAAUGCCAGAUUUCUUACCAGAGAUACUCAGCUCCCACAUGUGGCAAUGAAAUCAUCCCUCCGAGCGCGUCGUCAUGCACACUCUGAGUUCUUUGCUAGCUUUGUAAGGGACAAGAACCAGCACAUGAACAGAAGAGACGUGUGGAACACCCUCCGGUCAUCGUGCAUCUAUGGGUGUGACGUUGGAGGAGGGGCUGUGGGAAAACGAGGCCACUCGCAGGAGCUGCGCAGCCGGGAGGCGUGUCUGAACGCCCAAGCCGCGCGGUCCGGAGCCGCACAGCCGGGAGGAGGUGCCCAGCAUCGCACACCACCUGCGUGGUGAUGAGAAUCAUCGUCCUUCCCUUUGCACCUGCCCUUUGCCUGGCUCAGCGUGGCUUCCUGGGGACAGGUGUGUGUCCCGAAGCACUAAGAGGCUGCUGGUGUCUGGGGGCCCUUUUAGAGGAGAUUCGGAAAAGCCACCUGCAGCGAAGGCAGGUCACCAAUUCUUGAGCUGAUUUCCACCGUGUUUGAAGAUGUCUGGUGACUCGGGCUCCUCAGAGGGUGAGCCUUGUGGCGGAAGUAAGCCUUGGCUGUGGCGAAGGACCCUCAAGGGUGCCCUGCGGUGCUUUCCGGCGACUUCCGCCAGUCGGGGUCCGUCACGGCAACAGGCUGUCUUCCAUGCCUGUCGUGCGGAAUUGGUCUUCUCUGUUGUACUUUCUUGUUGCUGUGAUUGUCACAGAUGAAAAGUACGUUUUGCAGCAGAAUCUGUGCCUGGGGAAUGUGAUCAAACUUCUUGCCUAAAAGGA
This is a long non-coding RNA of Neofelis nebulosa (Clouded leopard), 3330 nucleotides long. RefSeq lists it as uncharacterized. Lineage: Eukaryota; Metazoa; Chordata; Mammalia; Carnivora; Felidae. The transcript has 3 exons. The record is from RefSeq and is a predicted model, not a curated record.